UAACUUAUCCCUGUGGAAGAUGCUAUGAUCAGCAAGUUUUUUCAGGGUGAGACCUGUCCAUUGCACUCUAGGCAAGCUGAUCCCUGUAAGUUUCCAAAAUGCAGGAAACUUGACUGCACAAUUUUGUGGUACUGUAAUGGGGGCCUGCGUUUGUUGUU
This 158-nucleotide small nuclear RNA is filed under the name Crocodylus porosus (Australian saltwater crocodile). RNAcentral's name for it is "U1 spliceosomal RNA (ENSCPRG00005002461.1)". It matches the Rfam family "U1 spliceosomal RNA". From Rfam's summary of the family: U1 is a small nuclear RNA (snRNA) component of the spliceosome (involved in pre-mRNA splicing). The record is from RNAcentral. Lineage: Eukaryota; Metazoa; Chordata; Crocodylia; Crocodylidae.